Molecule: ribosomal RNA, 497 nt
Filed under: uncultured bacterium
Lineage: Bacteria
Description: partial 16S ribosomal RNA
Rfam family: Bacterial small subunit ribosomal RNA
Source: RNAcentral
GAUGAACGCUGGCGGCGUGCCUAAUACAUGCAAGUCGAGCGAACGGACGAGAAGCUUGCUUCUCUGAUGUUAGCGGCGGACGGGUGAGUAACACGUGGAUAACCUACCUAUAAGACUGGGAUAACUUCGGGAAACCGGAGCUAAUACCGGAUGAUAUUUUGAACCGCAUGGUUCAAAAGUGAAAGACGGUCUUGCUGUCACUUAUAGAUGGAUCCGCGCUGCAUUAGCUAGUUGGUAAGGUAACGGCUUACCAAGGCAACGAUGCAUAGCCGACCUGAGAGAGUGAUCGGCCACACUGGAACUGAGACACGGUCCAGACUCCUACGAGAGGCAGCAGUAGGGAAUCUUCCGCAAAGGGCGAAAGCCUGACGGAGCAACGCCGCGUGAGUGAUGAAGGUCUUCGGAUCGUAAAACUCUGUUAUUAGGGAAGAACAUAUGUGUAAGUAACUGUGCACAUCUUGACGGUACCUAAUCAGAAAGCCACGGCUAACUACGUG